CGGAGUGUAGCGCAGCCUGGCUAGCGCACCUGUUUUGGGUACAGGUGGUCGGGGGUUCGAAUCCCUCCACUCCGACCA
Molecule: transfer RNA, 78 nt
Filed under: Thiomicrospira sp.
Lineage: Bacteria; Pseudomonadati; Pseudomonadota; Gammaproteobacteria; Thiotrichales; Piscirickettsiaceae
Also listed under: 3 other names
Description: tRNA-Pro
Rfam family: tRNA
About the family: Transfer RNA (tRNA) molecules are approximately 80 nucleotides in length. Their secondary structure includes four short double-helical elements and three loops (D, anti-codon, and T loops). Further hydrogen bonds mediate the characteristic L-shaped molecular structure. tRNAs have two regions of fundamental functional importance: the anti-codon, which is responsible for specific mRNA codon recognition, and the 3' end, to which the tRNAs corresponding amino acid is attached (by aminoacyl-tRNA synthetases). tRNAs cope with the degeneracy of the genetic code in two manners: having more than one tRNA (with a specific anti-codon) for a particular amino acid; and 'wobble' base-pairing, i.e. permitting non-standard base-pairing at the 3rd anti-codon position.
Source: RNAcentral